UUACCACACCUAAAGCCUUCCCCUCCUUCCCUUCCAGCACCACCACCACGACCACCACCACCACCACCACCAUCAACGCAGAGCCAUCACAACAAAACCACCAACCAGCAUCGACGGCAAAGAAUAGAGAGCUUGGCAGGAGGCGUGGGUGUCGGUGGCGGUGGUCGGGGAGUGAAUACCUUCAUUGCAUCAAAGGUAGAUGAGCAGCGUGGUGUCUAAAUGGUUGGCUUCCUAACAAACACACCCAUCAAGUCCUUCUCAUUCAUAAUUCACGCCAGGAAGGAGAUGAAUGACCUCCACCCACCCUCUUUCCCGUCUCUCAAGCCUUCAAGCACCAGCUGUUUCGU
This is a long non-coding RNA of Eriocheir sinensis (Chinese mitten crab), 347 nucleotides long. RefSeq lists it as uncharacterized. The record is from RefSeq and is a predicted model, not a curated record. The transcript is spliced from 3 exons. NCBI's taxonomy places the organism in Eukaryota, Metazoa, Arthropoda, Malacostraca, Decapoda, Varunidae.